RNAcentral lists this non-coding RNA (725 nucleotides) under Caenorhabditis japonica. RNAcentral's name for it is "Eukaryotic small subunit ribosomal RNA". It matches the Rfam family "Eukaryotic small subunit ribosomal RNA", at positions 1077 to 1831 of the family's 1831-position model. Lineage: Eukaryota; Metazoa; Nematoda; Chromadorea; Rhabditida; Rhabditidae. The record is from Rfam by way of RNAcentral.
UACCGAGGAGCUACCCGGAAACGAAAGUCUUUCGGUUCCGGGGGUAGUAUGGUGCAAGGUAAACUUAAAGAAAUUGACGGAAGGGCACCACAAGGCGUGGAGCUUGCGGGUUAAUUUGACUCAACACGGGAAAACUCACCCGGUCCGGACACUAUUAGGACUGACAGAUUGAAAGCUCUUUCUCGAUUUGGUGGUUGGUGGUGCAUGGCCGUUCUUAGUUGGGGGAGUGAUUUGUCUGGUUUAUUCCGAUAACGAGCGAGACUCUAGCCUGCUAAAUAGUCGACGAAUCUUCGGGUUCGUAUAACUUCUUAGAGGGAUAAGCGGUGUUUAGCCGCACGAGAUUGAGCGAUAACAGGUCUGUGAUGCCCUUAGAUGUCCGGGGCUGCACGCGUGCUACACUGGUGGAGUCAGCGGGUUUUUCCUAUGCCGAAAGGUAUCGGUAAACCGUUGAACUUCUUCCAUGUCCGGGAUAGGGUAUUGUAAUUAUUACCCUUAAACGAGGAAUGCCUAGUAAGUGUGAGUCAUCAGCUCACGUUGAUUACGUCCCUGCCCUUUGUACACACCGCCCGUCGCUAUCCGGGACUGAACUGAUUCGAGAAGAGUGGGGACUGUGGCUGCGAGGUUUUACCACUUCGCAGUUGCGGAAACCAUUUUUAUCGCAUUGGUUUGAACCGGGUAAAAGUCGUAACAAGGUAGCUGUAGGUGAACCUGCAGCUGGAUCAUCG